This 500-nucleotide ribosomal RNA is filed under the name uncultured bacterium. RNAcentral's name for it is "partial 16S ribosomal RNA". It matches the Rfam family "Bacterial small subunit ribosomal RNA", at positions 30 to 523 of the family's 1533-position model. The record is from RNAcentral.
AUUGAACGCUGGCGGCAUGCCUUACACAUGCAAGUCGAACGGCAGCACGGGAGCAAUCCUGGUGGCGAGUGGCGAACGGGUGAGUAAAGUAUCGGAACGUGCCCAGUCGUGGGGGAUAACGUAGCGAAAGUUACGCUAAUACCGCAUACGAUCUAUGGAUGAAAGCGGGGGAUCGCAAGACCUCGCGCGAUUGGAGCGGCCGAUAUCAGAUUAGGGAGUUGGUGGGGGAAAGGCUCACCAAGCCGACGAUCUGUAGCUGGUCUGAGAGGACAACCAGCCACACUGGGACUGAGACACGGCCCAGACUCCUACGGGAGGCAGCAGUGGGGAAUUUUGGACAAUGGGCGAAAGCCUGAUCCAGCCAUGCCGCGUGCAGGAUGAAGGCCUUCGGGUUGUAAACUGCUUUUGUACGGAACGAAAAGGUUUGGCCUAAUAAGCUGAGCUCAUGACGGUACCGUAAGAAUAAGCACCGGCUAACUACGUGCCAGCAGCCGCCGUAA